This is a long non-coding RNA of Apis laboriosa (Himalayan honeybee), 2078 nucleotides long. RefSeq lists it as uncharacterized. The transcript has 5 exons. The record is from RefSeq and is a predicted model, not a curated record. Lineage: Eukaryota; Metazoa; Arthropoda; Insecta; Hymenoptera; Apidae.
CUUACCAUACGAACGAACAUUUUUAAUUCAAUUCUCCCAAUUAAUUCAUAUAAAUUUCCAUCUAUAUAUUACAAGAUCGUUCUAAAAGGAAAAAUUUUAUCGGCAUGUUUCGAAAUUCGACACGUGUCUAUCGAUAUAAAGCUCGAAAUCGAGGUAGAUUGCGACUUUUCACGCGGAAAUCGCGCUAUUUUUACCGAAGGGACUCUCAAUAAUUCAACACAUUUCCGCCAGGGUCUCAACGUUCGCCCGAUUCUUCUCCUCGGUUUCGCGCCUCAAUCUUUCCGGAUCGAGCGGACAUGUUUUAUUCACCGAGUAACCUCUAUCGUGUUCUCAAGUCACUUCUCGUGUGACCGAUUUAACGAAUUUCUUGCAUUUUCGGUUUGGAUGAUCUGUUUUUUGGUUUUUGGAAUUGGAAAUUUGUCGACACGAUUUUACAUAAUGAUUUCGUCAAAAUGAUGUUUGAGAAGAUGUUUGACUAAACCAGUUUACGAAAUGUAAUUUAAUGACAUUCUUGAGAAACGUAUGGUAUUGAUUAAGAAUUUGAGACCCCUUGCUGUGCCAAGAAGAGGUUUCUUUAGUAGGGGUAGUUCGAUAAUUCAGCUGUAUCUAUACAAGGCUUCUCACGAGAUCACCGAAAAUUUCACUGCUUGUUUUUUUAGAAAAUAGAAGAAGAAUUAUUAAGAAUACAUUUCAACCAAAAAAAAAAAAAAAUUUCAAUUAAAUUAAAACAAAGAAUACCUGCAACUCGUAUACGUGCGAGGGACGACUGUGUUCAUAAAAAUCCCCGUAAACGCGAACAGUCGGCAUUUUUACGGCUUCGUCGCAUACCAUAAAACUAGACAAUUUUUCUACCUACGAGCCCUGAACGUGAAGCAUCGAGUAUCGAUAUCAUUCGAAAAUUGACGUUUUUAUAUAUUUACGAGGUUGCACUCAAUCGAUAAUCGAUACACUCGAACGAAGUUGAAAUCGAACCAAUAAAAUUGACCAUGAUUUUCGACCUAUAUGAAAUAGCUGAAUUUGAUUAAAAGUGAAGGGAUUUCUUCUUUUUGGACGAAGGAAAAUGGAUUGUUUACACGGAAAUAAAAAUAAAAGUUUUUGAUUAUUGAUCGAAAGUUUCGAAAAGGUUAAGUUAAAAUUUCGCACGAAAGAAAGAAGUUACUUUGAAAUUGCGUGAAACUGCAAGAAUUUUCUUCUUUGAAUGCAAAUAAAAAAAAGAAGAAACGGCAUACCGGAGUUUCAGUUACGUUCGAGCGCAUCGCGAAACAUUGGCUGUACAUUGGAUGAUCGAUAGAGUUAAUAUUGACGUCUAUUGUUUCCGCAAGAUAACCGAAAAGAACGCGAGGAAAACGCAUACCCACACACGAUAUCAAACCGAUCGGACAGCGGUGGAAGGUGCGAUAAUUAAUUUUCUCGCGGCAAAUUUCCAUGCUGGGAUGUAUCCCAUAUCCCAGUGAAAUUUUAUUGAUAUUAAUGCUUCCAGUUGAGUUAAUAUAUCGACUUUGACACGAAAUGGAAUUCGCGCGAAUUUUAAAUAAAAUGCAAUCGAGGAAAUUUAUUAUUGUUCGUUAAAUUCGUUAUUGACAUUCUUUUACGCGAUAUAUUAAAUUUCAAAGCUUUCUGCAAACAAUUUUAUAAAUUCGUUGUGCGCGUAGAAAAAUUUUAAUCGACCAAUUUGAUAAGUUUUAUGAAGAUAUAAAUAUAUUUAUAGUUCAAAACAUAGUAACGAGGAAUAUAUUUAUUUAUACUUUAUCAAUUAUGAUUGGAAACGGUUUCUUAUCUCAAAUCUUGCCAUUUAGAUAAGAAAAAUUUCCCCAAAUGAAUGAAAAUGCAAAUGAAAUUACAAACAUCUUCGAAAAUUCCUUUUAAAGGGAGGGAGAUAAAAAUUCCUUUCCAAUCUUUUCUUCAAUAAACAAUUAUUUCUUCCAAUCGCACCAUUUCCACCGGCUGUCCAAUGUGUCCCGUACGUCGUAUAAGGUUGAAAAAUUGGGGGAUCGUGUGGGGUUGUGGAAUGGGUUAAAAAAAAAAAAAAAAAAAAAAAAAAAGGAAGAAGAAAUUAAAAAAGAAAAAAAAUAUACGUA